CUGGCGGCGUGCCUAACACAUGCAAGUCGAACGAGAAAGUGGAGCAAUCCAUGAGUAAAGUGGCGACCGGGUGAGUAACACGUGACUAACCUACCUCCGAGUGGGGAAUAACUCCGGGAAACCGGGGCUAAUACCGCAUAACAUCGCAAGAUCAAAGCAGCAAUGCGCUUGGAGAGGGGGUCGCGGCUGAUUAGCUCGUUGGCGGGGUAACGGCCCACCAAGGCGAAGAUCGGUAUCCGGCCUGAGAGGGCGCACGGACACACUGGAACUGAAACACGGUCCAGACUCCUACGGGAGGCAGCAGUGGGGAAUUUUGCGCAAUAGGGGAAACCCUGACGCAGCAACGCCGCGUGGAGGAUGAAGCCCUUUGGGGCGUAAACUCCUUUCGACUCGGACGAUAAUGACGGUACGAGUGGAAGAAGCACCGGCUAACUCUGUGCCAGCAGCCGCGGUAAUACAGAGGGUGCGAGCGUNGUUCGGAAUUAUUGGGCGUAAAGGGCGCGUA
Molecule: ribosomal RNA, 505 nt
Filed under: uncultured bacterium
Lineage: Bacteria
Description: bacterial SSU rRNA
Rfam family: Bacterial small subunit ribosomal RNA
Source: RNAcentral